ACGAACGCUGGCGGCGUGCUUAACACAUGCAAGUCGAACGGAAAGGCCCUGCUUUUGUGGGGUGCUCGAGUGGCGAACGGGUGAGUAACACGUGAGUAACCUGCCCUUGACUUUGGGAUAACUUCAGGAAACUGGGGCUAAUACCGGAUAGGAGCUCCUGCUGCAUGGUGGGGGUUGGAAAGUUUCGGCGGUUGGGGAUGGACUCGCGGCUUAUCAGCUUGUUGGUGGGGUAGUGGCUUACCAAGGCUUUGACGGGUAGCCGGCCUGAGAGGGUGACCGGCCACAUUGGGACUGAGAUACGGCCCAGACUCCUACGGGAGGCAGCAGUGGGGAAUAUUGCACAAUGGGCGGAAGCCUGAUGCAUCAACGCCGCGUGCGGGAUGACGGCCUUCGGGUUGUAAACCGCUUUCGCCUGUGACGAAGCGUGAGUGACGGUAAUGGGUAAAGAAGCACCGGCUAACUACGUG
RNAcentral lists this ribosomal RNA (467 nucleotides) under uncultured bacterium. Its description in RNAcentral is "partial 16S ribosomal RNA". It matches the Rfam family "Bacterial small subunit ribosomal RNA", at positions 29 to 507 of the family's 1533-position model. The record is from RNAcentral.